GCCAGGAUGGUCUAAUCGGUUAAGGCGUCGCCCCGGUCAGGCGAAGGUUGCGGGUUCAAUCCCCGCUUCUGGCC
Molecule: transfer RNA, 74 nt
Filed under: Ixodes scapularis (black-legged tick)
Lineage: Eukaryota; Metazoa; Arthropoda; Arachnida; Ixodida; Ixodidae
Description: tRNA-Thr for anticodon GGU
Rfam family: tRNA
About the family: Transfer RNA (tRNA) molecules are approximately 80 nucleotides in length. Their secondary structure includes four short double-helical elements and three loops (D, anti-codon, and T loops). Further hydrogen bonds mediate the characteristic L-shaped molecular structure. tRNAs have two regions of fundamental functional importance: the anti-codon, which is responsible for specific mRNA codon recognition, and the 3' end, to which the tRNAs corresponding amino acid is attached (by aminoacyl-tRNA synthetases). tRNAs cope with the degeneracy of the genetic code in two manners: having more than one tRNA (with a specific anti-codon) for a particular amino acid; and 'wobble' base-pairing, i.e. permitting non-standard base-pairing at the 3rd anti-codon position.
Source: RNAcentral